Molecule: ribosomal RNA, 327 nt
Filed under: Triticum aestivum (bread wheat)
Lineage: Eukaryota; Viridiplantae; Streptophyta; Magnoliopsida; Poales; Poaceae
Description: partial small subunit ribosomal RNA
Source: RNAcentral
AUGAUGGUCUACGAAAUCCACUCCCAUGCCCAAAUCCAAGACCUGCAGGCCCGCUCCGAUGAGCUGGGCCACUCCAAAGACAUACAGCUUGUGAAUCUUGUCUCUUUGGAGUCGGUGCGCAUAGCGUGCGAGUCGUAUGAACUCCUCUGCCCGGUGAUCGAGGAGUUUGUGUUCUUGGCAUGCCCGGAGCUGGAAAACCUCUCGGUCGUGGCACGCUUGUCGCUGGAAAUCCAAAUGCUCGAGCAUGAUGUGUUACCCCAGCUCAAGGUUCAGGAAGCCAAGCUGGAACAGGGCGCCCUGGAAGCCCUCCUACUCAUGAAGAACUGA